GACGAACGCUGUCGGCGUGCUUAACACAUGCAAGUCGAACGGAGUGGCGAACGGGUGAGUAACACGUGGGUGACUGCCCUGCACUUCGGGAUAAGCCUGGGAAACUGGGUCUAAUACCGGAUAGUGGGGGAUGACUCGCGUCCUAUCAGCUUGUUGGUGGGGUAGUGGCCUACCAAGGCUACGACGGGUAGCCGGCCUGAGAGGGCGACCGGCCACAUUGGGUUGAGAUACGGCCCAAACUCCUACGGCAGGCAGCAGUGGGGAAUAUUGCACAAUGGGGGAAACCCUGAUGCAGCAACGCGCGUGCGGGAUGACGGCCUUCGGGUUGUAAACCGCUUUCAGCCAUGACGCGGUAGUGGCAGAAGAAGCACCGGCUAACUACGUGCCAGCAGCCGCGGUAAUAC
Molecule: ribosomal RNA, 404 nt
Filed under: uncultured bacterium
Lineage: Bacteria
Description: partial 16S ribosomal RNA
Rfam family: Bacterial small subunit ribosomal RNA
Source: RNAcentral